This 497-nucleotide ribosomal RNA is filed under the name uncultured bacterium. RNAcentral describes it as "partial 16S ribosomal RNA". It matches the Rfam family "Bacterial small subunit ribosomal RNA", at positions 29 to 507 of the family's 1533-position model. The record is from RNAcentral.
UAUUAACUCUGGCGGCGUGCCUAAUACAUGCAAGUCGAGCGAACAGAUAAGGAUCUUGCUCCUUUGACGUUAGCGGCGGACGGGUGAGUAACACGUGGGUAACCUACCUAUAAGACUGGAAUAACUCCGGGAAACCGGGUCUAAUGCCGGAUAACAUUUAGAACCGCAUGGUUCUAAAGUGAAAGAUGGUUUUGCUAUCACUUAUAGAUGGACCCGCGCCGUAUUAGCUAGUUGGUAAGGUAACGGCUUACCAAGGCAACGAUACGUAGCCGACCUGAGAGGGUGAUCGGCCACACUGGAACUGAGACACGGUCCAGACUCCUACGGGAGGCAGCAGUAGGGAAUAUUCCGCAAUGGGCGAAAGCCUGACGGAGCAACGCCGCGUGAGUGAUGAAGGUCUUCGGAUCGUAAAACUCUGUUAUUAGGGAAGAACAAAUGUGUAAGUAACUGUGCACGUCUUGACGGUACCUAAUCAGAAAGCCACGGCUAACUACGUG